UAGGAUUCACUCAGUAGCGGCGAGCGAACAGGGAAAAGCCCAGCACUGAAUCCCGCGUUCGAAACCGGACGCCGGGAAAUGUGGUGUUAGGGAGGGUCCGUUAUCCCGAGAUCGUGCGGUGCGUCCAAGUCCUUCUUGAACGGGGCCACAGCCCAUAGAGGGUGCCAGGCCCGUAGCGACCGCUGCCGAUCGCGGGAGGAUCUCUCCUCAGAGUCGGGUUGCUUGAGAGUGCAGCCCUAAGUGGGUGGUAAACUCCAUCUAAGGCUAAAUAUAACCACGAGACCGAUAGCGAACAAGUACCGUGAGGGAAAGUUGAAAAGAACUUUGAAGAAAGAGUUCAAUAGUACGUGAAACCGUUCAGGGGUAAACCUGAGAAACCCGAAAGGUCGAAAGGGGAGAUUCAGCGUGUCUCGGUUCAGGCUCCGGGCUGUCGUGCGACGGACGACGUACGCGUCGGUCCGCGCCUUCGGUACGGUCAGUCGGUUCCGAACCCGUGCACUUCUCCCCCAGUAGGACGUCGCGAUCCGUUGGGUGCCGGUCUAAGGCCCGCGGUGGAGCCCGUCCGGACGGUUCGCCGUUCCGGACGAACCCGCGGUGUUUCCCGGCCGGCUCGCUCGACGGUAUAAAUAUGGCGCGGGGCCGCUACAUAGUUAGCGUCCGACCCUCGGCAAGCGCGUUCGUCGUCGCGGUGUUUCGGACCCGGUGCCGAUCCCGCGCGCGUUCGGCUGUUCGCUGAGGUGUUCUCGGACAGACCUCGUUGAAACGCCGAUCAGCGACGCUAUAGGUUUGGGUACUUUCAGGACCCGUCUUGAAACACGGACCAAGGAGUCUAGCAUGUGCGCGAGUCGUUGGGACAUGACUAAACCUAAAGGCGCAAUGAAAGUGAAGGUCCGCCUCGCGCGGACCGAGGGAGGAUGGGCGUUCGGUCGAGACCGUCGCUCCGCACUCCCGGGGCGUCUCGUUCUCAUUGCGAGAAGAGGCGCACCAAGAGCGUACACGCUGGGACCCGAAAGAUGGUGAACUAUGCCUGGUCAGGACGAAGUCAGGGGAAACCCUGAUGGAGGUCCGUAGCGAUUCUGACGUGCAAAUCGAUCGUCGGAACUGGGUAUAGGGGCGAAAGACUAAUCGAACCAUCUAGUAGCUGGUUCCCUCCGAAGUUUCCCUCAGGAUAGCUGGCGCUCAUAGCGUACGAGUUUCAUCCGGUAAAGCGAAUGAUUAGAGGCAUUGGGGUCGAAACGGCCUCAACCUAUUCUCAAACUUUAAAUGGGUGAGAUCUCCGGCUUGCUCGAACUCAUGAAGCCGCGAGACUCGAAUCAGA
Molecule: ribosomal RNA, 1318 nt
Filed under: Trictenotoma sp. DDM0622
Lineage: Eukaryota; Metazoa; Arthropoda; Insecta; Coleoptera; Trictenotomidae
Description: eukaryotic LSU rRNA
Rfam family: Eukaryotic large subunit ribosomal RNA
Source: RNAcentral